Molecule: unclassified non-coding RNA, 433 nt
Filed under: Senecio kerdousianus
Lineage: Eukaryota; Viridiplantae; Streptophyta; Magnoliopsida; Asterales; Asteraceae
Description: partial contains external transcribed spacer and 18S ribosomal RNA
Rfam family: Eukaryotic small subunit ribosomal RNA (bases 369-433)
Source: RNAcentral
CAACUUCCACCUGGCUUACCUCCUCAUUUAUGCGUCAUGACUUGUAUCGUCUUGAGCGUAUUGUGGGUUUCCUGUGUUGCCUACCUUUCUAAUGGUAUCGUUUUGAUUGAUCGAAGUCCCUUUUCAUCUUGUGUUGCCUUUGCGAUGCAUGAUGAACCUUGAGGCGGUCUCUAUGUUCCACCACGUUGAUGCUAGUGUGUUGAUGUUGUGGCCCAUUGAGUGUUGCUUGGUUUCGUGGAUACAGAACAUGAUUUGGGCAUAGGGUUACUUGUGACUCUUGUUCUGUCCUUUAUCAGUGUUCUUUAUAACGACGGUUCAUGCGUGCCUAGGCUCGUACCUGCGCGAUGUUCUUUGUCGAAGAGGAAUGCUACCUGGUUGAUCCUGCCAGUAGUCAUAUGCUUGUCUCAAAGAUUAAGCCAUGCAUGUGUAAGUA